GGUCGAUGAAGAACGCAGCUAAUUGCGCGUCAUCAUGCGAACUGCAGGACACAUGAACAUCGACAAUUCGAACGCACAUUGCGGUCCUCGGACACUGUCCUCGGACCACUCCUGACUGAGGGUCGGUUUCAUUCUAAAGACUGCCUCAUUCGCGAUACGACACGAAGGUAUUGCGCGACGCGGAGUCGACACGCUGAGCGAUCUCGACACGUCGGAUGGUGCUCCACGACUGUCUGUACCCUUCCCCAGCUGCGGCUGGUGUGUGUGCGAGGGGAAAACUGUCGUGUGACGAACACCAUUGACGAUGUCAUUAGGAUCGUUCGAUGUGGGGUCAGACUAGUGUCAGUGCUCGUAUACGCACGUGUCUACGUAUCGGAUGAGGGCGUGUUGGACGGAUGCCGCUCGUUCUUCGAGCGCCGUCUUGAAUGGUGAAAUCACCGCCACUUGAGAGAUUCGUCUCGACGAAUCAAAGUCGAUGCUUCGUUUCCGAUGCGAGACGUACGCGAUCGUCGUGUCCGAGAUUUGAGAGAAUUAAACGACACAGACGACCGAUCGCAACGUACGCACGCUGUGAAACGUCUGUCAUCAAA
RNAcentral lists this ribosomal RNA (590 nucleotides) under Stethorus sp. SN-2016a. RNAcentral's name for it is "eukaryotic LSU rRNA". The stretch from base 3 to 125 matches the Rfam family "5.8S ribosomal RNA", at positions 33 to 154 of the family's 154-position model. The record is from RNAcentral. Lineage: Eukaryota; Metazoa; Arthropoda; Insecta; Coleoptera; Coccinellidae.